AUCCAUUCCACCAGAGUUUCCUAUGCGAGCCCAGGAUAGGGUUUGGCAGCCAAGACUUGCCAUAUUCAUUGCACUGACUUUCUCAGCGUCUGAUGAAUUUAAUCACUCCCCUGAGCAGAGAUGGAAAUUGAACUUGCCUCCAGCUCACUUCAACUCAGAGCUGAGGCUGAUAAAAGACGAGGGACGAGGAAGAUUUUCCUGAGGUUGAAAAAUCAAUUUGUAGUCAGUUAUUUCACAUUUUUAUCGUAAAGCAUGCUCAAUUUGUCUGUUCUGCUUAUGUUAGAAUAUAUUUCAAGAAAUGCAGAAAAGUUGUUAGGUGAAAGAAUUAAAUAAGAACAGAACCCCUGAAUAAAUUUGGUAAGCCAACCAAAUAAUUCAGAAAUAUUUAAUCUUUAUUUAUAUCAAAAUGCCUUCACAAAGGUUUACAAAACUGGGUACACUGGCAGUAGUAAUUCUCUCAUAGGGUGGUUAUUAAAAAAUCAGCAGCUGUACUGAAGGAACAGAAACAUUGACUUGGAGUUGUCUACUCUUGUGCACUCAGUAUAAGUUCAUGCAGUCAGGCAUGUAUGUAAACCCUGAGUACGUAGGGUGGGGGUGGGACCCCAGCUUUUGGUAUUGUGGAUCCUGAUGUACUUGUCCAGCACACUGGAUUCACUAGAAUGCUGACUGCAGAAAGCAGAUUCUUUUUAAUUUUUUUUCUGAGAUUUGCUAAU
Molecule: non-coding RNA, 713 nt
Organism: Meleagris gallopavo (turkey)
Lineage: Eukaryota; Metazoa; Chordata; Aves; Galliformes; Phasianidae
Source: RefSeq, a predicted model, not a curated record